Molecule: small nuclear RNA, 106 nt
Organism: Octopus sinensis (East Asian common octopus)
Lineage: Eukaryota; Metazoa; Mollusca; Cephalopoda; Octopoda; Octopodidae
Source: RefSeq, a predicted model, not a curated record
GUAUUGCUUUGGCAAUACAUAUACUAAAAUUGGUACAAUACAGAGAAGAUGAGCAUGGCCCCUGCGCAAGAAUGACACGCAAAUUUAUGAAGCGUUCCAUUUUUAU